GCCUUCGAAGCUCACCAGGUAUGAGCGCUCCCUCGGUAAGGGAGAGGUUGCCGGUUCGAGUCCGGCCGGAGGCU
Molecule: transfer RNA, 74 nt
Filed under: Actinomadura violacea
Lineage: Bacteria; Bacillati; Actinomycetota; Actinomycetes; Streptosporangiales; Thermomonosporaceae
Description: Actinomadura sp. LCR2-06 tRNA-Thr
Rfam family: tRNA
About the family: Transfer RNA (tRNA) molecules are approximately 80 nucleotides in length. Their secondary structure includes four short double-helical elements and three loops (D, anti-codon, and T loops). Further hydrogen bonds mediate the characteristic L-shaped molecular structure. tRNAs have two regions of fundamental functional importance: the anti-codon, which is responsible for specific mRNA codon recognition, and the 3' end, to which the tRNAs corresponding amino acid is attached (by aminoacyl-tRNA synthetases). tRNAs cope with the degeneracy of the genetic code in two manners: having more than one tRNA (with a specific anti-codon) for a particular amino acid; and 'wobble' base-pairing, i.e. permitting non-standard base-pairing at the 3rd anti-codon position.
Source: RNAcentral